Long non-coding RNA from Numida meleagris (helmeted guineafowl), 6891 nucleotides. RefSeq lists it as uncharacterized. The record is from RefSeq and is a predicted model, not a curated record. The transcript is spliced from 9 exons. NCBI's taxonomy places the organism in Eukaryota, Metazoa, Chordata, Aves, Galliformes, Numididae.
UGAUUAACUGUUUUUCAUCCCACUAGUCAGGAUUAUAGAAACAUGACUACGCAUCACUCGAGACAAAGGUGCACACUAUCUUACUUUGAUUCCACAUGUGAUUCUAAUAUAGGAUUCUGGAGUAUUGCCCAACAGAUUUUUAGUUCACUGGUCCCUUCAAUUGGCACCUAUAUCAGGGGCCCAAACGCCCCUCACUAUAGAAUGAUCUUGGGAUACUCUGAUAGUUUUAAGGGAACUGACAGUUGAGCCUAUAGUUGUAAAUAUUUUGUUUCGUAGAGAGAGCUGACCUUAGUAGCUUGUUUUGCUCUGCGAACAGGUUUCCACUUGGGCUCUGUAUAUCGCACUGGCCAUGCGGAUGCAGUGUACAAAUGGAAAAACCCUGCAGACCCUGAGAAGGAUAAAAGCAGGAGAGUCUGUGGUGGGUGAGAGAGGAGAAGUGCACCUUGAAGCAGGGGACGCCCUGCUGGCACUGCCUAUUGCAUCCACCACUGGCGUGUUUCUUCUCUCUCCUUUCUGGUGGUUUGUCACCUUUCAAGGGUCAAUAAGUAAUAAUAGAUUACCUUAGGGAGUUUCUGAUUCCUGCUGUGUAUGUUGAUUGGAACUCAUUCUUUUUAAUGGGUUUGACAGUAUUUCUUGUCAUUAUGCUGUUUGCCUUGUAUCUUUUCUUAUGUUUAGUGUGUUGUCAAUCCAGGCUCUGAUUGAAUUAUGAUGGUUAUAUUAUUAAUAUGAUUAGUGCUAUUAUUUUAUAGAAUGGUUAAAUAUUGAUAAGGAACUUAAAACUGCUUUUCACAAAGAGCGUCGGUCUCUCUAAAUCCUUGACAGCACCUGUUCCAACAAAGUACAGCUAUGGAGUGUGACUGUUAAGAUUUUUGCCUCAUUCCUAGCCCCAGGAGUUGCUGCCGCCCAAGCCUUGAAACAGAUCGAAUGUCUAGCGUGCUGGACUGUUAAACAGAGCAAUCAUACUUCAGAGAUCUUUGAAGAAAUGUUAGAAGAUAAGAACAGCCUUUGCCAUGCAGUGCUGCAGAAUCGAGCCGCUAUAGACUUUCUUUUACUAGCUCAAGGGCAUGGCUGUAAGGAAUUUGAUGGAAUGUGCUGUUUUAAUCUUUCUGAUCAUAGCGAAUCAAUUCAAAAGCAAAUUCAUUGGUUGCCUAAUCACACUCGAUCCAUUACUAAGGAUCAUAAUCCUAUUGAUGAUUGGCUGCGAUCUGUGUUUCCAGGUCUUACUCCUUGGAUAUAUGAUACUGUUAAAGAAGGUUUCAAAUGGAUCUUAAUCAUUAUCCUACUAGUAAUAGUAGCUAGAAUUUUGUAUAGUUGUCUGCUGCGUGCUACCGCGCCAUAAGCUGCACUUGUUGUGACUGACAACAAGGAUUCGGACAUCAUUCUUGAUUGGCUACAAGAUCAAGGGGGGCACAGUCCAAGGGAUUGUUUUGCCUUACAGCCCUAAAAGAAAAAGGGGGGAAUUGUUGGGGCGCAGUGUGCUCGAGAGCAUGUAGCUAAUGAUUCACUAAUGACCUACGAUGUAAUCUUAGAUGAAAGAAAUAGAUUGAUAAAUACAGGUGCAGUGGUGUGAAUAGUACGUUGCAGUUUAGCAAGGUGUUCUGUAUAUGAAAAUUGCUUGGGAAACACCAUUGUUCUCUGAUACGCUUGGUUGCAUGAAACCUGGAUCCUGUAAACAAGUAUACUAUAUAAGGGUUUGUUGCUACAAUAAAGUUGAAGCUGUGUGCACUCACAUUGAGUGGUCGUGCUUCCCCACGCAAGGAGGGCAACCCUUUGGGAAAACUUGGGGCGUUUCCCAACAGAUUCUUAGUAGUUUUUACACAGUGGCUAAAGUAUUUGGAUAACCAGUAAAUACCAUCUCUGCUUUCAUGUAAGAUCUGCUGAUGACCAACUCCCGGAACUGUGAAACUAGUGUAAAGCUGCUGGCUUCUCUGGUGAUGUUUGUCUUACAUGCUUGGGAGAAGAGACAGUAAAGCUUCUGUGUGGCAGAAGAGAGUACAAUGUGGUUCUUACUGGAUUUUUGGACUUGAUCCUUGCAUAUGGGAUAGAGCAACAGCCUUCAUUUAUGUCAAGAUAUAGUGCUCUGCUGUUUCAUCUCCUUAGAUAUCAGGGGUUUCUGCAUGAAGAGGAUGGCAGUUGCAUACAGACCUCCUUCAAAGCUCUAGAUCACGGACAGUCUCCCCUCCUCCCAUCCUCAGUUUUUUAUCUGCUUACAAAAAACAACAACAACAACAAAAAACUUUGAAGGAGUUUUACAAUCAAGGAUCUCAAAAUAAUUAACAAGAGGUCCACCUAAAAUCCUACCUUGGACAAGAAAGAGAUGCCACAUAAAGAUGUGUACAGGAGUCCAGCUGAGCAACUUCAUUCCACCAUGUUAAGCCCAGGCCUGAUGCCUGAUGCUGCAGAAUGCUGAAAUGCUGGACGUUUUCUGUCUCAGGAAAGCCAUAAAAAAGCAGUGAAGAGCAACAGAAACUCUACCACGACAAAUAUAGCAUCAACCACUCCAUCAAGCAGGAGGCUUGAAGAGCAGAUUGGUCAACUCCAUCAUCACAAAGCAUAAUCAAAAGAGAUAUAGAGCUCUACAGCUGAAGGAACUGCAGGAAAGACAUGAAAUUCAGACUCACAGAGAAGCACUGACUCCCCAGGGAGGUGACUCCUGUAGUAGUAACAAGUCUCAGCCUACAGUCGUCAUCUGUUUCUCCUGAUUGCAGGAAAAGGUGGUCAUGAUCAUAGUAGUGAAUUAUAUUUAUAUUGCUUCCUGGCUUUCCCAUGCAUGCUGUGUUUCUAAAAGAUGGAGAGCCUGGAAGGGCUGUUUUAGACAGAGGAACACAUUUCUUCUCCCAUGGCAGCAAACAAACAUCCAGAGAGAAUGGAACAUUCGAAGGAUGGUGCAGAGUUAUAAAGGAGAUGCACUCUUUUUACUAAUGGACUGGAGAAACUUUGUGGUUCUUGGUGCCAUUCAGAAAGCUAUUAAGUAGACUGAAAUUAUUCCUGGAAGCAAAGAUAUUCAGUCAUUAUUCUGUCAUUGACAGAGUGAACUCAAUGAGCUGAUUAUAAAGCAUAUAUAUUUAUAUCCAUUCUAUGUGACAUAAUCAUUUUGGACUUUCAUUGCUUAAAAUGUGAAAUGUUCCAUUUAUAUUUCAGUCAGUUCUGUCUGUCUCUCUCUCUUUUUUUGUUUUUCCUAAGUUUAAGGGCCUCUCAUUCUUUUAGAAUGUGUGGGUUUUUUUUUGUUUGUUUGUUUUUGUUUUUGAAUGAAAAGUCCCAGAAAUGUCCACCUCAAAGCUUUGACUUACUAAAGAUCCUGCCAAAGCUAGCAAGUCAAAAAAGAAACCAUGACCUCCAUGAAAGAUUACUGGGAAUUCACCUGGAUGUUUUUUUCCUUUCAGCUUUGAAAUGGCAGUGGUACAGGAGAAGCUUCUGCCCCUGGGUCAGAACCAAAUGGUAGUUUCUAAACACUUCUUGACACAUCCUUCACAAAGAAAUCUCCGUAGCACAAAGAACCUUCAAAAAAGGCAUCCCAUUUUUCACCAUUUCUUUUUUCCUGCCUUUCCUAUUUUGGAACAAUGUCCCUUGUUUACUUCUAAUGUUGCUCACUAGUCUUACGCUUCAGAAGUGUAUUCACAAAUGGCCCUUUUUUUAGAUAAAUGAACGGCUACCCAGUGAGCAUCUUAUGUUUCUGGUGAGCCUAGUUGAGCAGCGAACUAUUUCUUCUUAUGUAUCUGCAUCUUAUACUUUGGGAAGAACUAGAUCUUAGGGCUGUUUGAAAUUAGUUAUGCAUAUUGACAGUCUCUUUCAGAACAUGAAGUUCAAGUGAGGUUCCUCACUUUCAUUAAUAUUUACUUCCUCCUGACACCUUUUGCUUUGUCUCGAUUUUUGAGUUUUGAGAGUGGUAGAUUUUAAGAAAGAUGUGUAUGUUGAAGAAUGCAUAAGGAUAACACACAUUCCAAGAGAAAUUUCAGAAGGGUCCUAGACCAAGAUAUUCUGCCAGUAGAGUUUGAGAUCUUUACAAGCCUGCUGUUUUUGAGGCAGUGAACCUAGCUGAAGGUCUCAUUUUCAGAAAUCUGUAAGCUCUUGUCAGAAAUCAGGAGUGAAUGCAAAGAAAUAUGAUUUCUGUCUCUUGUGAAGUCUUCUGCCGAAUCCAAGUAAUUUUUAAUAAUGGUUGCAAAAAAAAAAAAAAGAAAAAAAAAAAGAAAAAAGAGGAAUUUGGGAGAUUAUCCAUUGGAUGAUUUGUUUUGGCUAAGGCGUGAACUAAAGCUGAGCUAAUACAUGAUUUCAGUGCCAGGAAUGGACUCUGGAAACUUGGCAAGACUGUGGACAAAUCCUGAUAUAGUGUUACAGAUGGCAAUAAAAUUAAUGGCAUAGACCUUACAUCAACUGAUAUUUAUAUACAUUGUUCUGUUAGCUAUUCACACCCUUCUUGAAAUUCUAUCUUCUCAAAUGAACCAGCUCUCAGCUUCCUGCACUUUCUGCAAAAUAAAGACCAUUUCUUUUCAGUUGCAGACUACUGUAAUGUAGUGAUGUAAUGUGAUCAUGGCUACUCCCUGAUCUCUGAGAUGAUUUUCUCCUGCAUUUCCACAAUUGUUGCCUCUAUGUUAAUGUUCUUGUCCCCUUUCCUGAUCAGAUAACCUCAUUUCAACACAUUGUACGCUGCUGGAAAAGAAACCCUCGAUGCAUGUACAGACUAGAGGAUGAGAAGCUGAAGACCAGUCCCACAGAAAAUGGUUUGGGGGUUGAUCACAAGCUAAAUAUGAAUCAGCAGUGUGCCCUGACAGACAAAAGUACCAACCACACCCUGCAACGUAUCACGCUCAGCUUUGCUAGAUGGUCAAGUGAAGAUAUCUGCAUGUGAAAAGCUACUGCAGUUUUUCAACAGCUCUGACAGGAAGAGAACACGGAGUUGAAUCCAUCUUCCCAACCUUCUACCAAAAUUGCACUGAUAUAAUUCAAGUGUUCCCUUAUUACUGAUAAAAUGGAACGCUUCUAAAGACCUGCUGCUCAGGUGCUUUAUUCUCUUUACUAUAUGCAGUGUUUUUUUCAAAACUACUUAUGUCCUUCUAAAGGUCAAAUUUUCAGCCUUGCACACAAGAAGAUAAGCUAGUCAGCUCUGUCUAUAAAAGAAAUUGUAUAUUUCAUCCUUGAUAUGUAGUGUAAAAUACUUACUCCCCAGAGUCUAACUUUAACAUAGAACAAAGAAACAAAAUGGACAUGAAAAAUGGACAAAAGUAUUUUAGGAAAGGAUUGGUUUCCUCUAGGGCUUUCAAAACACACAAAAAAACACAACAGAUGGUAGAUAAUAGUUCAACAUACCUGUGGACCCUUUUCAAGUGUAUUGUAUACGUUAGUUCUGUGCUUGUCAAUUUCCUUGCAAAUAUUAUUGCUAUAUCUUACAUUAUCUACCAUUUCUAAUACAUUAAACAUUCCUCCGUUGCACACUUCAAGUUCUGCCUGACCAACAACAGCCUGAAGUGUUGAUGGAUAUAUUCACCAUACUCUGACUCAUGCUCCAUGAAGACAGAUGUAGGUUUCUUGCUUGAAGAAGCCUGAAAAUUAAUUUCUUUCUAUCAUUAUUUGAUCAUGAGAUAUGAAUGUCAGGCAAGAUAUUAUUUGCCCUUUCCCUCAAAGUAGACUUAAUUGUUUGUGGAUUGGAUAGAGAAGCUGUCCUCCUCUCAUGCUUGAUUGGACUGAGAUCAAUUUUCUAAGAGAAGAAAAACAAACACUAGUCAUUAAACAAAAAGGGAACUGAGACAGAUUUACUAGCUGUCUUCUUGAAAGAGCAUGAGAACUGUCCAUUCAGCGGGAUAAUCUACUUUUCUUUAUGGUUAUUAAAAAAAUGGCACUGUCCUCAGUGGUAGCAGGGCUAGUCUAUAUCUCAAGUAAAAAUCCAUGUUCAAAUGUGAUGCUGAAAGAAGCUGAUCCUCUCUCAUGUGACAUACAGACAUAAGGUUUUAUCUGUUAUCUGCAUUACCUGUUUCAUAAUUCCUGUAGCAAAGUAAUCUUGCCUAAACAUAGUGAGAAUGAAAUUACAUGUAGAUAACAAAGCAGAAGUUUUUGUUUCAGUUGCCUUUCUUAGUGUAACUCUCUACACCUGUCUACCUAAAUGACUGCAUUCUCUGGGAUGGGCAUAUUUCCCCUGCCCAAGAUUGCUCUGGGCAGUUGCAGAAACAAAGUGCACUCUUUCUCAGUGCAAAAACCAAAGCUUAGCAUAUAUUUCCUGUAAGUCUUCUUCUUUUGGCUUGAUGUUUUUCCGUAGUGUUAAAUUAAAUUGUUUACCAUGGAGCUGAGCCAAUGAGUUGGUUUUAAUCCCAGGAGGGGAAAAAAGAGAUGUGAGGUCAAUUGUCCUAUUUGUUUUCAAGAACUGGCUGAAGUUCUUCAUAAGCCCUCUGUAUUUUUCUUGGAUUUGAUUUUGUUCCCCAAAGCAAAAGCUCUCUCAUUCUCUCUCUCUCUCUCUCUCUUCUUUUUAACAAUGAUUUUUGCUUGCGCAGAUCACUCUUUUCUUUCUUUGGAGAUUGUUGAUAUUAUCCUGAAAUUUUAAACCUGCAGAUAUUCUCUAGCACUCGUUUAUGGAAACCACACAGACCAUAUUGCCCUCUUUUCUCUUCACUGAAUUGUUAUUUUUCAUGACACACUGUGGCUUUUGAAGUUAUUACCUCUUUUGUCAUGGAGAGAAGUGUUAUGGUAUAAGACAGAAAAUAUACUUAUGGAAAACCAGGCCUAUGAGAAAGAAUUGAACCAGAAGACAUACAAACUACAACUCCCAGUGGAAUAUUGUAAUGACAUAAAAAAUCCAAGUAUUUCCUUGAAAUCUUUGAAAAAAUUGCUUUCUUCUUUAUUCUACCAUGCAAAAAAAAAAAAAAUUCUUUCCAACAUACUCUGUUUUUUUAUAUGAUUCAGUGA